GUCACUCAGGUAGCCCACUCCUCCUCCCAAGGACUGCUUGACGGACAAGGGCACUCCUCCUCCCAGCCGUUGUUGAACUGUUUCGAAAGCCUGCCGCACCUCCUCCCGCGGCAGGCUUUUUCG
Molecule: small RNA, 123 nt
Filed under: Rhizobium sp. SG570
Lineage: Bacteria; Pseudomonadati; Pseudomonadota; Alphaproteobacteria; Hyphomicrobiales; Rhizobiaceae
Description: ar14
Rfam family: Alphaproteobacterial ar14
About the family: Smr14C2 was renamed NfeR1 (Nodule Formation Efficiency RNA) highly expressed in salt stress and during the symbiotic interaction on legume roots.
Source: RNAcentral